This 466-nucleotide ribosomal RNA is filed under the name uncultured bacterium. RNAcentral describes it as "partial 16S ribosomal RNA". It matches the Rfam family "Bacterial small subunit ribosomal RNA", at positions 28 to 507 of the family's 1533-position model. The record is from RNAcentral.
GACGAACGCUGGCGGCGCGCCUAACACAUGCAAGUCGAACGAGCGAGAGAGAGCUUGCUUUCUUGAGCGAGUGGCGAACGGGUGAGUAACGCGUGAGGAACCUGCCUCAAAGAGGGGGACAACAGUUGGAAACGACUGCUAAUACCGCAUAAGCCCACGACCCGGCAUCGGGUUGAGGGAAAAGGAGCAAUCCGCUUUGAGAUGGCCUCGCGUCCGAUUAGCUAGUUGGUGAGGUAACGGCCCACCAAGGCGACGAUCGGUAGCCGGACUGAGAGGUUGAACGGCCACAUUGGGACUGAGACACGGCCCAGACUCCUACGGGAGGCAGCAGUGGGGAAUAUUGCACAAUGGGGGAAACCCUGAUGCAGCGACGCCGCGUGGAGGAAGAAGGUCUUCGGAUUGUAAACUCCUGUUGUUGAGGAAGAUAAUGACGGUACUCAACAAGGAAGAGACGGCUAACUACGUG